Molecule: ribosomal RNA, 525 nt
Filed under: uncultured bacterium
Lineage: Bacteria
Description: bacterial SSU rRNA
Rfam family: Bacterial small subunit ribosomal RNA
Source: RNAcentral
ACAUCCAGAGAAUUUAGCAGAGAUGCUUUAGUGCCUUCGGGAACUCUGAGACAGGUGCUGCAUGGCUGUCGUCAGCUCGUGUUGUGAAAUGUUGGUUAAGUCCCGNAACGAGCGCAACCUUUAUCCUUUGUUGCCAGCACGUAAUGGUGGGAACUCAAAGGAGACUGCCGGUGAUAAACCGGAGGAAGGUGGGGAUGACGUCAAGUCAUCAUGGCCCUUACGAGUAGGGCUACACACGUGCUACAAUGGCGCAUACAAAGAGAAGCGACCUCGCGAGAGCAAGCGGACCUCAUAAAGUGCGUCGUAGUCCGGAUUGGAGUCUGCAACUCGACUCCAUGAAGUCGGAAUCGCUAGUAAUCGUAAAUCAGAAUGUUACGGUGAAUACGUUCCCGGGCCUUGUACACACCGCCCGUCACACCAUGGGAGUGGGUUGCAAAAGAAGUAGAUAGCUUAACCUUCGGGAGGGCGUUUACCACUUUGUGAUUCAUGACUGGGGUGAAGUCGUAACAAGGUAGGCGUAGUGCU